GACGGGCCCCGCACAAGCAGCGGAGCGUGUGGUUUAAUUCGAUGUUACACGAAGAACCUUACCAGGGUUUGACAUGCAAGUGGUAGGAAACCGAAAGGUGACCGACCUUCGGGAGCUUGCACAGGUGCUGCAUGGCUGUCGUCAGCUCGUGUCGUGAGAUGUUCGGUUAAGUCCGCUAACGAGCGCAACCCUCACUGUGUGUUAUAUGUGUCACACGGGACCGCCGGUCUUAAGCCGGAGGAAGGUGGGGAUGACGUCAAGUCAGCAUGGCCUUUAUAUCCUGGGCUACACACACGCUACAAUGGCCAACACAAUAGGUCGCUAAGCCGCGAGGUGGAGCCAAUCCAUAAAGUUGGUCUCAGUUCAGAUUGCAGGCUGCAACCCGCCUGCAUGAAGAUGGAGUUGCUAGUAACCGCAGGUCAGCUAUACUGCGGUGAAUACGUUCCCGGGGCUU
Molecule: ribosomal RNA, 454 nt
Filed under: uncultured Leptolinea sp.
Lineage: Bacteria; Bacillati; Chloroflexota; Anaerolineae; Anaerolineales; Anaerolineaceae
Description: bacterial SSU rRNA
Rfam family: Bacterial small subunit ribosomal RNA
Source: RNAcentral